UGACCCGUCUUGAAACACGGAUUUAUCGUGUGCGCAAGUCAUUGGGUGUUGAAAACCCAGAGGCGCAAUGAAAGUGAAGGCAUCCCUCGCGGAGCCGACGUGCGAGCACGGGCACUGCGGUGUCCGAGUGCAGCAUGGCCCCAUCCUGACUGCUUGCAGUGGGGGUGGAGGAAGAGCGUACGCGGUGAGACCCGAAAGAUGGUGAACUAUUCCUGAGCAGGAUGAAGCAGAGGAAACUCUGGUGGAAGUCCGAAGCGAUUCUGACGUGCAAAUCGAUCGUCUGACUUGGGUAUAGGGGCGAAAGACUAAUCGAACCAUCUAGUAGCUGGUUCCUUCC
RNAcentral lists this ribosomal RNA (337 nucleotides) under Pratylenchus thornei. RNAcentral describes it as "eukaryotic LSU rRNA". It matches the Rfam family "Eukaryotic large subunit ribosomal RNA", at positions 645 to 962 of the family's 3401-position model. Lineage: Eukaryota; Metazoa; Nematoda; Chromadorea; Rhabditida; Pratylenchidae. The record is from RNAcentral.